This is a long non-coding RNA of Salvia miltiorrhiza (redroot sage), 565 nucleotides long. RefSeq lists it as uncharacterized. The record is from RefSeq and is a predicted model, not a curated record. NCBI's taxonomy places the organism in Eukaryota, Viridiplantae, Streptophyta, Magnoliopsida, Lamiales, Lamiaceae. The transcript is spliced from 2 exons.
UCCAAUUAUUUAAGAAAAUCGAGUAAGGAUAUUGUUGGUGUCCUUAACUCAAGAAUUUAGUUUUCAAUUAUUUAUUUACUAAAUUUUGAAAACCCGGCUAAGUGAAUCAUAGAAUGUUAAGCACUACACCAUGACUUAAGAUUAGAUUCAAGGAGACCUAUUAAGAAUAGAAUUUCUUGUAGGCUUUGUGGACCAAGGGGAUUAGCACUGCUUUCCCAAGACAGGUUUAUAUGUGAUUAUGAUCUUCAGGCUUUGCCUAUCCAGGUUGGCUGGCCGGUGCUGACGGGACGGAGCUGAGGCUAGUGAUAAAUUCUUAUGUUAGACUUCCGCUGUAGCAAUUACUCAUAUUAGUCUUUUGUUUUCCCAACUUAAGAUCUUCAUGUUAAAUUUCAAAUGAUAUAUUUGACCGAACUUAGGCUCUUCACUACUAAAUUUAUGCAAAUGAAUGUCGGUUGUCAGAAGCAUGAAACAAAACUUGUGAUCCAAAGGGGCAUAGCCCGACUUUCUAUCCUAUUUCGGGUUUUAACAAGGUUUUUCCCUUGUUUAUUUCCAUGAAUUAUUUAUA